AAAAUCUAAAAAGUGCUUUUUCAGAGAAGUUCCAAUUUAAAAAGCUGUUUUUAGCUUUCUGGAAAAGCUAAAUCAGCUUUUUGAAAUUUUUACCAAACAUCCUUGUUUCAUCUAAAAAUGCUUUUGGAGGGCCAGAAAGUACUUUUUGGCCCUCCAAAAGCUCUGUGAAACCGGCCUUGGUUAUAGCAAGGAAAGAAAAUGAUGGGCAGAACAGUGGGGUUUAAGCUCGGGCUACCACAGACUCUACCCUGAUGUUGCUGCCUCACUUAAGCUCCGGUGCUGCCAUUGCUAUGCUGUGGCCGACGGUGAUGAGCCCGAGACCCUAUCAUAACUACUCUCUUA
This 342-nucleotide long non-coding RNA is filed under the name Phoenix dactylifera (date palm). RNAcentral describes it as "long non-coding RNA (PDAC_LNC008169)". The record is from RNAcentral. Lineage: Eukaryota; Viridiplantae; Streptophyta; Magnoliopsida; Arecales; Arecaceae.